CUUAAAUCUUUUUAUUUUUAUUUUUGAGAUAGGUAGCAUGUUACCCGCUUCGUUUAUUUUAUUUAAAAAUAAAUUUAGAUAGAAAUGUGAAUCAACUAGAAUUCGAACUUGGGUCUCGAACAUCAACCACCCAACCUUUUGCCACUUGCUCUAGGGACUGUCGGUAAAUUUGUCUUAAAUAUUAUGUCGAUGAAAACAUAUGGUGUACAGUAUAGCUUAGGGCCUGUUUGUUUCGUCGUAAAAUCACCGGGAAAAUUUUUUUUCGGUGGAAAAAUAAGAUUCGAGUGUUUGUUUGCCCGUAAAAAGAAAUUUUCGGAAAACUUCUUUUAUGGAUCUAUGGAAAAAUCGCGACGUUGGAGCUGAGUUGGAGCUGAGGCGGCGUUCAGCAGGCGCGGUCGACGACCGACACCCCACCUCGUGGACCGCUAGAGAGACAGGUCCACAGUCCACAGUGACUGUGGACCUCUCUCUCCCACAUUUUUUAUAUAUAUAAUAUAUUAAAUAUGGUAUUUUAUUUUUAAUAUAAAUAUAUUUAUUAUAUAAAUUUUAUUUAUAAAUAUUAUUUAUAAAUAUCUAAUAAUUUAUUUUAUAGUAUUAUAUAUUUAUUAUAAUUUUAAAUAUAUUUAAUCUACAUAUAAAAAUUAUAAUAAUAAUAUAUAUAGUAUAUUAAUUAUUAUAUAAUAAUAAUAUAUAUAAUAAAAAAUAUAUUAAAUAAGUUUUUAUCUAUUUUUUUUUUCUUUCAACCAAAUAACGAUCAUGGAAAACUAUUUUUCUUUUCCUACAAACCAAACACUAAACUACGGAAAAAAAAAUUUCUACUCCACUGAAAAUUUUUUUCACAGUUUUAUGUCAAACCAAACAGUGCCUUAGGCUACUAUUUUUAAUCUUAAAUCUAC
This 896-nucleotide long non-coding RNA is filed under the name Ananas comosus (pineapple). Its description in RNAcentral is "long non-coding RNA (ACOM_LNC037842)". Lineage: Eukaryota; Viridiplantae; Streptophyta; Magnoliopsida; Poales; Bromeliaceae. The record is from RNAcentral.